CAGUAGCCGCGGGAAUACGUAGGUGGCAAGCGUUGUCCGGAAUUAUUGGGCGUAAAGGGCUCGCAGGCGGUUCCUUAAGUCUGAUGUGAAAGCCCCCGGCUCAACCGGGGAGGGUCAUUGGAAACUGGGAAACUUGAGUGCAGAAGAGGAGAGUGGAAUUCCACGUGUAGCGGUGAAAUGCGUAGAGAUGUGGAGGAACACCAGUGGCGAAGGCGACUCUCUGGUCUGUAACUGACGCUGAGGAGCGAAAGCGUGGGGAGCGAACAGGAUUAGAUACCCCAGUAGUCCCUGUCUCUUAUAC
This 301-nucleotide ribosomal RNA is filed under the name uncultured bacterium. Its description in RNAcentral is "partial 16S ribosomal RNA". It matches the Rfam family "Bacterial small subunit ribosomal RNA", at positions 509 to 807 of the family's 1533-position model. The record is from RNAcentral.